Molecule: small RNA, 141 nt
Filed under: Salmonella enterica subsp. salamae
Lineage: Bacteria; Pseudomonadati; Pseudomonadota; Gammaproteobacteria; Enterobacterales; Enterobacteriaceae
Description: RtT sRNA
Rfam family: RtT RNA
About the family: This family represents a bacterial cis-regulatory element known as RtT RNA. The exact function of RtT is unknown although it is thought that it may be involved in changing the cellular response in relation to amino acid starvation.
Source: RNAcentral
CGAUCGAUCAUAAGGGAGCUGACUGCAAAUCUGCCGUCAUCGACUUCAAGGUUCGACUCGAUCAAUAGUGAGAGAACGUUGCCGCAGGCAACGGCCCGAAGGGUGAGGAGCUUUAGCUCCGAAUAAUCCUUCCCACGAUAG